CAGCCGCGGUAAUACCAGCUCCGCUAGCGUAUACUAAAGUUGUUGCUGUUAAAAAGCUCGUAGUUGGAUUUCAGGGGGAUUGGCAUGGCCCGGGCGUGUUUUACGUCUGAGCGCCAAGGCUUCGCCGAGCCGAUUCCCCUUACUUCAGGAACGCCGGUCUGCCCAUUAACUUGGCUGGGCCGUUGGUCCUGAUCCUUUACUUUGAGAAAAUUAAAGUGCUCAAAGCAGGCUAUCGCCUGAAUGCAUUAGCAUGGAAUAAUAAAACAAGACUUUGG
RNAcentral lists this ribosomal RNA (275 nucleotides) under uncultured eukaryote. RNAcentral's name for it is "partial 18S ribosomal RNA". It matches the Rfam family "Eukaryotic small subunit ribosomal RNA", at positions 571 to 833 of the family's 1831-position model. The record is from RNAcentral.